Molecule: long non-coding RNA, 547 nt
Organism: Cyprinus carpio (common carp)
Lineage: Eukaryota; Metazoa; Chordata; Actinopteri; Cypriniformes; Cyprinidae
Source: Ensembl
CCUUUAGAUUGUGUUUAUUAAUUUAACAUUUGUUCUUGAAGAAUUUUGAACGUUUAAGAGAUGCUUGCUGAGUUCUUGUUGAUUCCACAUGAAUGUAAUUGAAUGGCAGUGGCGUCCGCAGGGCGGUGUGGGUGUGUAGAUGGAGGUGUGUGCGGAACACAGGCGGUCUGAUGCUAUCAGGCUUUGGCAGAGAUCAGAUCACUGGCAUCAUCUCCAGCUCCUCCUGUGAACCUGCGGCGCUGCUGCAUGGAGAAACCAGGUGCUGCCUAUUCAUUAACCAUUAGCGCUCAAAGCUGCAGCCAGCCGGGCUCGCCGAGCGUCCUAAACCUGCAAACAGUGUUGGCACGCUGUAUGGCUUUAAUCUCGGCUGAUUUCAGGUUGAACACACUCUCUCACAUCCUCUCUGAUCUCUGCGAGCCGUCACACACACAGAUGGUCACCUGGACCUCUCACUGACCGCAGCACCUGUAGCAUCGCCUCACCUGUGCAAUUUGUCGGAGCUACAGAACGGGAACUAGUAAAAUGAUGGUUAAUCCAAUGAAUUCCC